GACGAACGCUGGCGGCGUGCUUAACACAUGCAAGUCGAACGGAAAGGCCCUGCUUUUGUGGGGUGCUCGAGUGGCGAACGGGUGAGUAACACGUGAGUAACCUGCCCUUGACUUUGGGAUAACUUCAGGAAACUGGGGCUAAUACCGGAUAGGAGCUCCUGCUGCAUGGUGGGGGUUGGAAAGUUUCGGCGGUUGGGGAUGGACUCGCGGCUUAUCAGCUUGUUGGUGGGGUAGUGGCUUACCAAGGCUUUGACGGGUAGCCGGCCUGAGAGGGUGACCGGCCACAUUGGGACUGAGAUACGGCCCAGACUCCUACGGGAGGCAGCAGUGGGGAAUAUUGCACAAUGGGCGGAAGCCUGAUGCAGCAACGCCGCGUGCGGGAUGACGGCAUGCGGGUUGUAAACCGCUUUCGCCUGUGACGAAGCGUGAGUGACGGUAAUGGGUAAAGAAGCACCGGCUAACUACGUG
This 468-nucleotide ribosomal RNA is filed under the name uncultured bacterium. RNAcentral's name for it is "partial 16S ribosomal RNA". It matches the Rfam family "Bacterial small subunit ribosomal RNA", at positions 28 to 507 of the family's 1533-position model. The record is from RNAcentral.